AACGAACGCUGGCGGCAUGCCUAACACAUGCAAGUCGAACGAGACCUUCGGGUCUAGUGGCGCACGGGUGCGUAACGCGUGGGAACCUGCCCUUAGGUUCGGAAUAACUCCCCGAAAGGGGUGCUAAUACCUGAUAAUGUCUUCGGACCAAAGAUUUAUCGCCUUUGGAUGGGCCCGCGUUGGAUUAGCUAGUUGGUAGGGUAAAAGCCUACCAAGGCGACGAUCCAUAGCUGGUCUGAGAGGAUGAUCAGCCACACUGGGACUGAGACACGACCCAGACUCCUACGGGAGGCAGCAGUGGGGAAUAUUGGACAAUGGGCGAAAGCCUGAUCCAGCAAUGCCGCGUGAGUGAUGAAGGCCUUAGGGUUGUAAAGCUCUUUUACCCGGGAUGAUAAUGACAGUACCGGGAGAAUAAGCUCCGGCUAACUCCGUG
RNAcentral lists this ribosomal RNA (433 nucleotides) under uncultured bacterium. RNAcentral's name for it is "partial 16S ribosomal RNA". It matches the Rfam family "Bacterial small subunit ribosomal RNA", at positions 29 to 507 of the family's 1533-position model. The record is from RNAcentral.